GCUUCAGAACAUGACAAACCCACUACUGAUCCAGUGCGCAUCUAGGGGGCGCAAACUGGUGACCAACGAACCAGACAGGACACAAAAAUGCCCAACCCUGGACGGACACACAAAUAUCUGUGCUGCCCACAUCCAGCCAACACAGGCAGCAGGAUAUUUCCUCCUAGUCAGACUGGUGAGUUUUUAUUU
This 189-nucleotide long non-coding RNA is filed under the name Homo sapiens (human). Its description in RNAcentral is "long intergenic non-protein coding RNA 1586". Lineage: Eukaryota; Metazoa; Chordata; Mammalia; Primates; Hominidae. The record is from RNAcentral.